Molecule: non-coding RNA, 26 nt
Filed under: Macaca fascicularis (crab-eating macaque)
Lineage: Eukaryota; Metazoa; Chordata; Mammalia; Primates; Cercopithecidae
Also listed under: 1 other name
Source: RNAcentral
UGACUUAAGCUAGUGUGUUCUGCCUC